Molecule: long non-coding RNA, 394 nt
Organism: Anopheles coluzzii
Lineage: Eukaryota; Metazoa; Arthropoda; Insecta; Diptera; Culicidae
Exons: 2
Source: RefSeq, a predicted model, not a curated record
AUAGAAGUUCCGGAGAAGCGGACGGACACCCUGCAUCAACAGCUGAUGGGAGGGUGACAGCCGCCGUACGCGCGAGCGAUAAGGAAGGCGAAGGAAAGCGGCGCUCUUAUCUUUGGGCUGGAGAGGAAAUCGCAACGAGAUUGCUUAAUGCGCUUGUCACCCUGUGUCCCCGAGAGGGCUUAUCAUCAUCGCACUGACUUAUGGUCCCGCUCUGUCUCUCUCACACACACACAAACACACACACACGGAGCGCCUUGUCACGGUAAUGAGCUAAGCUUGAUAAUGAUAAUCAUCCUUUUGCCCGGGCGAACAGUGUCUGGUCUCGGGGCGUUUGGGUUGGGUCGAUAGUUUAAGCUCGUUUUCAAAAUAAAGCACAAAACCAUUGCACCAGAGA